GUAGGUGGCAAGCGUUGUCCGGAAUUAUUGGGCGUAAAGCGCGCGCAGGCGGUUCUUUAAGUCUGAUGUGAAAGCCCACGGCUCAACCGUGGAGGGUCAUUGGAAACUGGAGAACUUGAGUACAGAAGAGGAAAGCGGAAUUCCACGUGUAGCGGUGAAAUGCGUAGAGAUGUGGAGGAACACCAGUGGCGAAGGCGGCUUUCUGGUCUGUAACUGACGCUGAGGCGCGAAAGCGUGGGGAGCAAACAGGAUUAGAUACCCUGGUAGUCCACGCCGUAAACGAUGAGUGCUAAGUGUUAGGGGUUUCCGCCCCCCUUAGUGCUGCAGCUAACGCAUUAAGCACUCCGCCUGGGAGUACGGCCGCAAGGCUG
RNAcentral lists this ribosomal RNA (371 nucleotides) under uncultured organism. RNAcentral describes it as "partial 16S ribosomal RNA". It matches the Rfam family "Bacterial small subunit ribosomal RNA", at positions 527 to 896 of the family's 1533-position model. The record is from RNAcentral.